AGUGGACGCUGGCGGCGUGGUUAAGACAUGCAAGUCGAGCGGAGAACAAAAGGCGUAGCAAUACGUGGAUGAGAAAGCGGCGAACGGGUGCGUAACACGUAAGCAACCUGCCCUAAAGGACUGGGAUAGCUCGGGGAAACUCGAAUUAAUACUAGGAUGUGGUCGCUUUUCCGCAUGGGAGAGACAACUAAAGCUUGAGACGGCACUUUAGGAGGGGCUUGCGGCCUAUCAGCUUGUUGGUGAGGUAACGGCUCACCAAGGCAAAGACGGGUAGCGGGUCUGAG
Molecule: ribosomal RNA, 284 nt
Filed under: uncultured bacterium
Lineage: Bacteria
Description: partial 16S ribosomal RNA
Rfam family: Bacterial small subunit ribosomal RNA
Source: RNAcentral